Molecule: small nucleolar RNA, 125 nt
Filed under: Jatropha curcas
Lineage: Eukaryota; Viridiplantae; Streptophyta; Magnoliopsida; Malpighiales; Euphorbiaceae
Description: Plant small nucleolar RNA R71
Rfam family: Plant small nucleolar RNA R71
About the family: R71 is a member of the C/D box family of snoRNAs containing the C (UGAUGA) and D (CUGA) box motifs. Multiple nearly identical copies of this snoRNA have been identified in Arabidopsis, and it is thought to function as a 2'-O-ribose methylation guide for 18S ribosomal RNA.
Source: Rfam by way of RNAcentral
AAAUUGUGAUGUGGGCACUUUCUCAACAAGUCCUUGAAUCUUUUCCAAGCUUCAUACAAGCUUUCUUGAUCAUGGUAGCUUUCUUGAUCAUGGUGAGCAAAUGUCAUUAUCUCAUUGCGCAGUUU